GGGAUGUAAAUGACUGUGUCUGCUACCCUGCAUCUAUGAUUACCACUCCUGCAGCCAGUGAGUGUACCUCUGUGCGUGAACUGUUGACUGGCCAGCUGUAUUUCCUUAUUUCAUAUAGGUUGUUGUUGAAGAAAUCUGGCUGUCGAACACCACGAAUUGAAUUGGAAGAGAUGGGACCCUCAUUGGAUCUGGUUCUAAGGAGGACACACCUGGCUUCCGAUGACCUUUAUAAGUUAUCUAUGAAAGUGCCAAAAGCCCUCAAGACAAAGAAGAGGAAAAACAUCUCCCAGGAUACUUUCGGUACAACUUAUGGAAGGAUUCACAUGCAGAAGCAAGACCUAAGUAAAUUACAAACCAGGAAAAUGAAAGGAUUGAAGAAGCGCCCUGCAGAAAGAGUAACAGUUGAAGACGAGGAGAAAAAAAUCAAAGAGAAUUAAAAAAAAUUAAUGAAACUUA
Chrysochloris asiatica (Cape golden mole) is the source of this 456-nucleotide RNA transcript. It is a transcript of the gene named ribosome production factor 2 homolog, with no coding region annotated. NCBI's taxonomy places the organism in Eukaryota, Metazoa, Chordata, Mammalia, Afrosoricida, Chrysochloridae. The record is from RefSeq and is a predicted model, not a curated record. The transcript is spliced from 3 exons.